GAGGAAAGAGAUGAAAGAAUCAUAAUGAUAAUGAUGAGGAUGAGGAUGAAGAUGAUGAUUAAGAGAAAGACUGGAAAGAUAAUGUUAGACCUUAUAUUUUUAGGCUGUUAGCUAAUGGACUGAUUUCCGGGGAAGAUGAAGAGACCGGAAGAAGACGAAGCCUUUUCGUCAAGUUAACCAUAGACAUAGACUUUUAUAUUUCUUCGACAGAAAAAGCUUUAUCCCUUCAACCAUCAGUUUUUACCUCAUCUUUCUUUCUCUUCCUUAUUCUUCUUCUCAUCUCUUCUUCUAAUAUCUUCAUCUAUCAACUUUUAUACAUGAUAAUAAAAAUCAUGAUUAAACCCAAUAAUCAGCCAGCAAACAGAAACAUUAAUGCAGUUAUUAUUACAAUAGUAAGUCAAAGUAAAAAGCUUUCCUCAACAUUGUGCUAAAAUGUAACCAUUUUUCCCUAUCAAAUUGUGCGCCUUAACCUCAUUCAAGUCAACGGUAACGUCUUGGUUACUAUGGAUAACAUAUGGUUUUAUAAUUGUUUCAAUUAAUAAUUUUCAAUUAUCAUCUAUAAUUAACUUCACUUAAUUUGUUCUAAUCAUUUGCUCUGGUUUUAUAUGAAAUUUCACCAAUGAACUACCAAUUCAGUCUUUUGUAAUAUCGGUAGACUAUUGAAGACUUUUGGUAUAUGGGAUUAUCUUGGCUCCUGUGUUCAUUUUAUGGCGAUUGAAAUUCAUUAUUCGCCACCGUACUCGAAGUUUCUCCAGCCUACACCGAUAGCAUAGCCAAAAUGCCGGGAAAAACGGAAGAUUGCAAUUUAGUUUUGCCGUUAAACUCGUCCAGGUAUACAGACAGGUAGAGAGUAACGGUUGAAGAAGGCGAAUAAAAGGAUGGUGAAGAUGCUGGGAAGUGAUAUUUCUUGUUAUAACCAUUUUUUGGUUCCUUCUUAAGGUCAAGUUUAGGAUAAGCAAGGAAACGGAGGAGGAAAAAGGAAUAGGAAGAAGUUUGUUUAGCAGAGGAAAUGUUAUGACCUCUUAAGGAAGCAUCUAUUCCUAUAUUUUUACGUUACUUUCUGUCUUUCUUUCAUCAUUUUCAUCAUUUUCAUCAUCAUCAACAUCUUUUUUACAGUGCAAAAGAGAGGAUUCAUGAUGAGGAUGCUCCAACCAUUUUCAGGCAAACCUGAGUUUCCUUCCUAUUCCCAUGUAUACACAAUCAACACAAUAUGUAUUAUACACGUACAUUGUUGUCUAAACUGUUAAACAUGUAACAUUUAAUUACCAAUUUAACCAUUUAAUUCAAUUGAAUAGUUAAUCGACAGCCAAUAUCGACACAAAGAUUCAUCAAAGAUUCAAUGAUUCAACAUUUCGCCCAUAAACCAUCCUAACACAGCUGAAUUGAAGCCAUCGUAAAUGGUUUCAUCCAAACUAUCAAAAAAGUCUAUCUAAUUACCAAACCAAACGGGCAUUGAAUUAACCUGUCAAGUCUAAAGUCUGAUUAAGCAGAUUGAAUAUUGUCUGCCAACCAGAAUUUAUCAUUAAUGUAACCAAUUUUUUGUUAAAAAUCUUUCAUUAACUAAAAUUACAAAUUUUCAUGUUAAACAUGAAUAGCCGAUAAGAAAAAAAAGGUUCAUUGAAAAUGAUACUUUUGUAUUUACACAAAUUAACAGGAAAUUAUCAUGUUUAGUUAAUUUUUUGCUGCCAUAAAAAGCCUCAACAUCAACUGAAGAUGACAUUAUUAUCUCAAAAAAGUAUCAACUUGUCAUUUUGGUGGCUCAUCAUCAUCAUCAUAACCAUCAUCUUUUUUUAUGUCCUCAAAGCCCAUGUAAAAGCAAGUGGAAUCAGAAAAUUCAUCUUUAUCUUUGUUGCCACCUUUUUUUAUUGAAAAAGCUGCUCCAGGCAAUUGCAACUCAUCAUCAAUAUUUUGACAAGAUAUAUAUUUUUAUACAAGUUGAUGAUACUUUUUCACUGUUAUCAAAUAUUUGUCAGAAAAGGCUGAAUCUGAAGAUUGAACAAUGAAGAUUGAAAUUGAAACCGCAAUGGAAACAGCAAGAGACCUAAAAACUGUAAACAUACAGAAAUAUCAUUUUUUCAUCAUCAAUAAAAAGCCAGAUAUCACCAAAGAAGAGCCAAAACUAAAAACUAAAAAAGGCAAAGAAAAAUGAUGAAAAGUCGAAACAUUUCGUGAACACUUUUCAGGGUUGGCAAAACAAAGAGGCGUAAAAUUGUCAAUUUUUAAGCUAUAUCAUCUCUCCAGAAACUCUGUCAUGAACACACCGAGUAACAUCCAAAUGCAAGGUAAACAAGAGUUGAACACAACAAAGAUGGCUCUUAACAAUAAAUGAUGAAAAUGAUGUUACUGGUUAAGAGUAGUCCUCAAAGCUAAACCACAAGCCUCUUACGGCCUACGGUUGAGACUGUGUGUCUAUUGCUAUCUAAUAUACAUUUAAUCCAGUGAAUUAAAUGGUUCAAGAUGAUUGUUAAAGAAUGAAAGAUUCUUCUAUUUAUAUUAUUACUGGGAAAAUCUAGCAAAUCCAAUAUCGGAAUCAAUUCUAAUGAUGAUAAUAAUGAUGUACUUGGUAGAAAAGGUUUGCAGUGGUAAAAAAAAAGUGAAAGAUGAAAUUCAAUCUUUUCAUCUUUAAAUGGCUUUUGUUUGUAUAAUGGAUAAAAUCAUCAUCCCAUGUUUAUACACUCUCACUGUUCAUCUUUAUCAAGAUGAAAAUGCUUGACAAUCAUCCUCUCAGCUUCAUCAUCUUUAUCAUCAUCUUUGGGUCACACGCAGCAAACGUUUUCAACACACUCAUCUUCAUCUUUCAACCAAACAUGAUGAUAUUCAAAUUUGUAAUGUAUACAUGGUAAAUUGACACUCAUUAUUGGCCUGGUUUAGUUUUGCCUUUUCCGUUCUUCCCUUGAUUGUUAUUAAACAUCGAAAGGCGCAACCUUUGGUUAAACACAAUUUUGUGGUUCCUUGUUUGUCAUCAUAAUAAUGAUUAUGUUUACCAACUAAUACAGUGUAAUUGCAACUAAAUAUACAGACUAAUGUAAACCUGUAAUUGACUGGCAAUACCAGUAAAUGUAACCCUUUUUGCGUCCAAUCCGCAUUAUUUUCCCAUUUUAUUUUUAAUCAACUUUUCACUUUGAUAAAUGUUUCAAUUGUUUAACCAUCAAUUUGU
Non-coding RNA from Tetranychus urticae (two-spotted spider mite), 3157 nucleotides. The record is from RefSeq and is a predicted model, not a curated record. NCBI's taxonomy places the organism in Eukaryota, Metazoa, Arthropoda, Arachnida, Trombidiformes, Tetranychidae.